This 60-nucleotide transfer RNA is filed under the name Stygobromus tenuis potomacus. RNAcentral describes it as "tRNA-Tyr". The record is from RNAcentral. Lineage: Eukaryota; Metazoa; Arthropoda; Malacostraca; Amphipoda; Crangonyctidae.
UAACAGAAGAAUCCCGUAUGUAAGUUUACAACUUACCGCCUAAAUCUCAGCCAUUCUGUU